Molecule: RNA transcript, 375 nt
Organism: Cebus imitator (Panamanian white-faced capuchin)
Lineage: Eukaryota; Metazoa; Chordata; Mammalia; Primates; Cebidae
Gene name: immunoglobulin heavy variable 3-23-like
Exons: 2
Source: RefSeq, a predicted model, not a curated record
AUGGAGUCCCUGCUGAGCUGCGUUUUCCUUGUUACAGUUUUGAAAGGUGUCCAGAGUGAGGUGCAGCUGGUGGAGUCUCGGGGAGGCUUGGUCCAGCCUGGGGGGUCCCUGAGACUCUCCUGUGCGGCCUCUGGAUUCACCUUCAGUAACUACUAGAUGCACUGGGUCCGCCAGGCUCCAGGGAAGGGGCUGGAGUGGGUUGGACAAAUUAAUCCUAAUGGAGGUAGCACAUACUACGCAGACUCCGUGAAGGGCCGAUUCACCAUCUCCAGAGACAACGCCAAGAACUCGCUGUAUCUGCAGAUGAGCAGCCUGAGAGCCGAGGACACGGCCGUGUAUUACUGUGCGAGACACAGUGAGGGGAGGCCCGUGUGA